This 776-nucleotide ribosomal RNA is filed under the name uncultured Neocallimastigales. Its description in RNAcentral is "partial large subunit ribosomal RNA". It matches the Rfam family "Eukaryotic large subunit ribosomal RNA", at positions 20 to 644 of the family's 3401-position model. Lineage: Eukaryota; Fungi; Neocallimastigomycota; Neocallimastigomycetes; Neocallimastigales. The record is from RNAcentral.
UACUAGAGUAGCACUCGCAUAUCAAUAAGCGGAGGAAAAGAAACUAACAAGGAUUCCCCUAGUAACGGCGAGUGAAGCGGGAAGAGCUCAAAUUUGAAAUCUUAAAGGGUUUCCCUUUACGAAUUGUAGUUUAAAGAAGUGUUUUCUGUUGAGGUUUUGGUAAAAGUUCUUUGGAAUAGGACAUCAUAGAGGGUGAGAAUCCCGUAUUUGACCUUUACUUUCAACUUUGUGAUACACUUUCAAAGAGUCGGAUUGUUUGGGAAUGCAGUCCAAAAUGGGUGGUUAAUUUCAUCUAAAGCUAAAUAUUGGCGAGAGACCGAUAGCGAACAUGUACCGUGAGGGAAAGAUGAAAAGAACUUUGAAAAGAGAGUUAAACAGUACGUGAAAUUGUCAAAAGGGAAGCGUUUGACACCAGUGUUGUUUUUCUGAAAAUCAAUUAAAGAACUGUUUAUGCUAAGCUGUUUAGACUUUAUCAGCUAAUCUGUUUAGUUUUGAGCUUUUCUUUAAUGCACUUUUCAGUUAACAAGUCAACAUCAAUUUCUUUUGCUGUAAAAAAGCUUGAGGAAGGUGGCUUGAGAUUCGUCUUAAGUGUUUAUAGCCUCUUGCCUAUGCAGUCGGAGAGAUUGAGGUCUGCAGCGUAGAUCCUUCGGGGCUAAAUGCAUUUGUGCUAAGUUAUAACAUUUCAUAGACAACUUGUUGACUAUGAUUUGUCUUGUAGCUUAACUCGCUUAUGUUAUUUUACCUACGCUUAGGAUGUUGAUAUCGCGCUCUCACUG